Molecule: ribosomal RNA, 253 nt
Filed under: uncultured bacterium
Lineage: Bacteria
Description: partial 16S ribosomal RNA
Rfam family: Bacterial small subunit ribosomal RNA
Source: RNAcentral
UACGUAGGUGGCAAGCGUUGUCCGGAAUUAUUGGGCGUAAAGCGCGCGCAGGCGGUCCUUUAAGUCUGAUGUGAAAGCCCACGGCUCAACCGUGGAGGGUCAUUGGAAACUGGGGAGCUUGAGUGCAGAAGAGGAGAGUGGAAUUCCACGUGUAGCGGUGAAAUGCGUAGAGAUGUGGAGGAACACCAGUGGCGAAAGCGGCUCUCUGGUCUGUAACUGACGCUGAGGCGCGAAAGCGUGGGGAGCAAACAGG